Molecule: long non-coding RNA, 2880 nt
Organism: Onychomys torridus (southern grasshopper mouse)
Lineage: Eukaryota; Metazoa; Chordata; Mammalia; Rodentia; Cricetidae
Exons: 2
Source: RefSeq, a predicted model, not a curated record
GGAUCUCCUUUAUUUCCAUCAGAAGGCUAACAUUUUGCUUUCUUAAGUUUUCUUUCUGUAACACUUUAAAGGCAAAUAUGAAUUUAUCAUAACUUGAUUUUUACAAAUAAUGCAUACAUAUGGUAGCAAAUAAUUUAAAGAAGAGUUUGUGGGAUAAAGCUUGAAUGAUUAGGAUGAACUCAGCACUUGGGAUUUCAUUUAGCUGUUUAGAUAUUCCAUUUCUUGCAUAUAUGUCUAUAAUAAGUUCUCAGAGUGUGACUUUGGCUUUGUUUUGUUGUGGGUUUGUUUGUCUCUUCCAUUGUGCUACUCUGGCUUAAGCUUUUUCAGGGGUUGGUGUUCCGAAUACACAGUGAGCUCACACUUUAAAGACAUCAAUUAGGAGUUGACAGGUAUGGAAAACUAGAGUUGUGUAAAGUAAACUAGGUUCUAGGUUCUAUAUAUGGUUUAAAGUACACUGCGUUCAGUUGGCCUUAGUGACAUGCACGGGGCUUGUGAAACCAAUAGAGCUUUUUAGUCACCUUAGAAGUGAUCACUAGAGCCUAACAGAUGUAUGUGAAUAGCCAAAGACUAUCAAAUUCUAAAGAGUACACAUUAUAUAGAUUGGAACAUAUAGGGUAGCAUUUCUGAAGCACAGCAUGGUUAACCAGAUUAGCCAGGGUCAUAAAACAAAGUUAGUGGCAGAAUGGAAAUAGUCUGUACAGUUUGGUAGUCUUCUGUUAGGUACCACGUUUCUUUAUGUCCACCCCAGUUUGCUUACUGUUUCCUCCUUCCCUGUCCUUUCUAAGGUUUUCACUCUGAAAGCUAGCCUUAUAUUUUACAUUACAGCAGCAAUCUCUCUCUAAUUAAUGGUUUCAGAGACAGUAGCCAGCACCUUCCCUUCAUUUUUAUUUUUGCAUCGUUUUCUCUGGUAGCUUGUAAUGUCCUACACAAAGAAUGUAUACAUUCAGCAGACCUGGUCAGUGAAUAAGAAACCCUGCCUCAGCUAGAGGCAUGUAAUAAAUGAUUAGCCUAUUCUGUGCUUCAGUUGACACGUGAGAUAGGGAUAUCCUCUGGCAUCUUAAGAUAAUUAUUUGUUGAAUUGAACUGAAAUUUACUUGACCAAGAAUUCCACCUGCACUCCUACAGGGAUGUAUGAGGUGUUCUGAGAAGGACUCCUUCAGGAGACUUCUGUUCUCUGGCCUAUGAGAAUGGCCACCGGUAGAAUGUUUGCAUUGUGCAGGCUGUAGAGAGUUUAAACAACCCCUAUUCUGAUGCCCCAUUAAAUAUUGCUGACUUGUAAGGAAUCUUGAUUUUAUUGUAUUCAAAACUUAGGUGGACCUUAUAUAGUAUAUUUACCUGGCUGCUAUUUGGGAUUUGGGGAACAUGAGGGGUGGGGUGAACUGUUGUUGUUUUAGGUUUCAGUCAGACAGACAUCCCUGUGCCUCAGUUCCCAGAAGCACAGCAGGCCUCUAGGAGCAUCCGUGGGAACGGCGCAGUCCUGACAUCUCCAACUUCUCCUGCUCAGGCUCAUCCCAUAUGCAGAGGUCAAAAGGGUGGGGUUUGAGAUGGGGGAAGGAAUGAGAAAGUGGAAGUGAUGUCAUUGCAGGUCUGCUGUUGACCAGCUCUUUGGUGCUUAUGUCAGUGUGCGUUUAUUUUAAGUUGCCAAGUCUGUACAUACAUCUAUUUGGGGAGAAGGUAAUGGGAGGGUGGAAAAAGUAAGCUGUUAUUAUUGCUAGGCUCUUCUUGGAUGUAGUUCCUUAGUGUCUAAUAGAAAAUUUCAGACGUAGGCUCCAGUGACAAAGAAUGGGGAUAGAGGUGAAUCUUAGAUUUUUAAAACGCAUUAGACAUUAUGCUGUGUUAAUUCCCAGUUCUCUUAGAACUAUUAUUUUUGUCAUUCUUUCCCUUCCCCCUAGUUUUUCUAGGUAUGUGUUAGUUUAAGGAAAUGUACAUUCAUGAUCAGCCCUUUCUAAGGGACUUAAUGAAUAUUAACUCUUUUGCAAAAAAAAAAAAUACCCAAUGCUUAUAUGGGCAUACAAAUGCUACCCUAUUUUAAAUGUAGGUGGCGUAUGUGUUCGUGUUUUAUUGUAUUCAGAGCCAUUGGGCAAUAAGCAGUCCAGAACAUUGAAAUCUCAAGCAGGUAAAGCACCUAAUACCCUUAGUUUCUAGAAUUACUUUAAAGGCUUUGCAUUGAUGUGUCUUCCAUGGUUCUUUGGAUAGUCUCUGAGUUUGGAAUUUGUAGGAGUUGUAGACUACCUAGUUAAUUUAAAUCAUGUACUUAUUUAUAGCUCAUAGGGAUACAUAGGGAAGGAGAACAGUGAAACAGAACACCGCUCUUUGAGAUAACGACCAUUGAGUGUAUAAUCGUUCCUCUUCCUUUCUUUCUGUUUUUAAUUUUCCUAGCUUAGCAUGAACAUUGAUCAUACGUUAUUUGGUUUUCUAUGAUUGGGUUUUUCUCUCCUGAUUAUUGAGGUGGGAUGGCAAUAUUUGAAAAUGUUGAGUCACAUGUUAAACUAUGAACUGUUAAAGCAUUGUUUUAUUUGAACAAUAAGCAAGGCCCUUUUCUAUAUGCCCUUCUGCUGCAGCAGAGAGAUAAACGGGUAGGUGGCAGCAGAGAAAAGAAUCUUGAGAGUGGCUGUUGACCUUAAACCUGCAUAGCAGAAGAAACGGCAUGUGACGUGCCUAGUGGAGCGAGGAAGGGCAGAGACGCAAGCUGGACUUAGGACGCCUGCCUCCUUAUUCUGAGGGUUCUCUUGAAACAACCAGUGCUAUUCUGGAUGAAGACAGAUUGGAGUUCACUUUUUAAAGUGGAAGAACAACACAGAAUAAGAAGUCGAUAGUUGUACCUUGUUGGAUUCAGUGUGGUUUCUUUUUCUAAAAUAAAAGCACUGAAUGGAAGUAACA